RNAcentral lists this ribosomal RNA (372 nucleotides) under uncultured organism. Its description in RNAcentral is "bacterial SSU rRNA". It matches the Rfam family "Bacterial small subunit ribosomal RNA", at positions 526 to 896 of the family's 1533-position model. The record is from RNAcentral.
CGUUGGUGGCAAGCGUUGUCCGGAAUUAUUGGGCGUAAAGCGCGCGCAGGCGGUUCCUUAAGUCUGAUGUGAAAGCCCACGGCUCAACCGUGGAGGGUCAUUGGAAACUGGGGAACUUGAGUGCAGGAGAGAAGAGUGGAAUUCCACGCGUAGCGGUGAAAUGCGUAGAGAUGUGGAGGAACACCAGUGGCGAAGGCGACUCUUUGGCCUGUAACUGACGCUGAGGCGCGAAAGCGUGGGGAGCAAACAGGAUUAGAUACCCUGGUAGUCCACGCCGUAAACGAUGAGUGCUAAGUGUUAGAGGGUUUCCGCCCUUUAGUGCUGCAGCAAACGCAUUAAGCACUCCGCCUGGGGAGUACGGCCGCAAGGCUG